This 74-nucleotide transfer RNA is filed under the name Streptococcus pneumoniae SPNA45. Its description in RNAcentral is "tRNA-Ile-GAT". The record is from RNAcentral. Lineage: Bacteria; Bacillati; Bacillota; Bacilli; Lactobacillales; Streptococcaceae.
GUAAUUGUUCCAUAUGAUUCUUUCUAAUGAGUUGUUUUGUCGCUUUUCAUUAUAGGUCAUAUGGGACUUUUUUU